This is a long non-coding RNA of Vidua macroura (Pin-tailed whydah), 511 nucleotides long. RefSeq lists it as uncharacterized. The record is from RefSeq and is a predicted model, not a curated record. Lineage: Eukaryota; Metazoa; Chordata; Aves; Passeriformes; Viduidae. The transcript has 4 exons.
GUUCACCAGGUGAGAGGAGCUGAAAAGAACUUAUUAGGAAUGACUUACACUUUCCCAUGCUGGGCCUCAGAAAGCUCACCUGUUUUCAACUUUUACAGGUAACUGGAGCCCUUCUCCAGACAGGCAAGUGAAUCAAUCAUUGCACAACUUGGCAUGACUGGCAUUCCCUGAUUGAGAGGCAGAAGCUCCAGCUUGCAGAUCAAAGUGGAGCAACCCAUUGGAAUUCGGGUGUCCCAGCAAAACCAGGCAGUGGAAGCUUGUGGGUGGCCUCUGUGCCAGGUUCAGGUGUCCUACACCCGUGAUCCUUGAGGACAGGAGAGCUCUCUAUUCCAAGGAGGCUUUAAAGCUAAACACAGACCAAAAAAAGGAAGGACAGAGCGGUCACGUAGCUCCUACACUCAGGGAGGAUAGCUGAGAGAGACAACCAAACAAAAGAAAACCUUAGGAUUCUAACCCAGCUGAAAAAACUUGUUCCUAAAGAGCCAGAGAGACUGAAGCAGCUGAUUUCCCA